Molecule: ribosomal RNA, 512 nt
Filed under: uncultured Diversispora
Lineage: Eukaryota; Fungi; Glomeromycota; Glomeromycetes; Diversisporales; Diversisporaceae
Description: SSU rRNA
Rfam family: Eukaryotic small subunit ribosomal RNA
Source: RNAcentral
AGCAGCCGCGGUAAUUCCAGCUCCAAUAGCGUAUAUUAAAGUUGUUGCAGUUAAAAAGCUCGUAGUUGAACUUCGGGGUUCACCCAUUGGUCAGGCUUAAUUGUCUGUACUGGUGAGAUGAGUCUCUACCUUCUGAGGAACUUUCAUGCCAUUUAUUGGUGUGAUGGGAAAUCAGGACUGUUACUUUGAAAAAAUUAGAGUGUUUAAAGCAGGCUCACGCUUGAAUACAUUAGCAUGGAAUAAUGAAAUAGGACGUUUGAUUCUAUUUUGUUGGUUUCUAGGAUCGACGUAAUGAUUAAUAGGGAUAGUUGGGGGCAUUAGUAUUCAAUUGUCAGAGGUGAAAUUCUUGGAUUUAUUGAAGACUAACUACUGCGAAAGCAUUUGCCAAGGAUGUUUUUCAUUAAUCAAGGACGAAAGUUAGGGGAUCGAAGACGAUCAGAUACCGUCGUAGUCUUAACCAUAAACUAUGCCGACUAGGGAUCGGAUGAUGUUAAUUUUUUAAUGACUCAUUC